UUGGCUAUAUCAGACAUUAUUUAUCCAUAUGUUUUUAUAGCAAUAUAUUUAUACAAUUAUACAGAUUUACCUUUUUAGUUUCAGAUAUCCUGUUCUUCACAAGUCAAUAUUUACCCACUAUAUUUUGUGAAGUUAUCUUUAAAAUGUAAUGGAUUCUGAUGUUUAUUCUUGAAAUAAGGAAAUAACCUGCCUUUAUUUGGGUUUGAACUAAAAUAAGGUGCGUUUGAUCUGUGAAGGUGAGUUUGAUCUGUGAAGGUGAGUCAUGUCUAUAGAGGUGCGUUUGAUCUGUGAAGGUGAGUCAUGUCUAUAGAGGUGCGUUUGAUCUGUGAAGGUGAGUCAUGUCUAUAGAGGUGCGUUUGAUCUGUGAAGGUGAGUCAUGUCUAUAGAGGUGAGUUUGUUCUGUGAAGGUGAGUCAUGUCUAUAGAGGUGCGUUUGAUCUGUGAAGGUGAGUUAUGUCUAUAGAGGUGCGUUUGAUCUGUGAAGGUGAGUCAUGUCUAUAGAGGUGCGUUUGAUCUGUGAAGGUGAGUCAUGUCUAUAGAGGUGCGUUUGAUCUGUGAAGGUGAGUCAUGUCUAUAGAGGUGCGUUUGAUCUGUGAAGCUGAGUCAUGUC
Molecule: long non-coding RNA, 609 nt
Organism: Notothenia coriiceps (black rockcod)
Lineage: Eukaryota; Metazoa; Chordata; Actinopteri; Perciformes; Nototheniidae
Exons: 3
Source: RefSeq, a predicted model, not a curated record